RNAcentral lists this ribosomal RNA (486 nucleotides) under uncultured bacterium. RNAcentral's name for it is "partial 16S ribosomal RNA". It matches the Rfam family "Bacterial small subunit ribosomal RNA", at positions 30 to 507 of the family's 1533-position model. The record is from RNAcentral.
AUUGAACGCUGGCGGCAUGCCUUACACAUGCAAGUCGAACGGCAGCACGGGUGCUUGCACCUGGUGGCGAGUGGCGCACGGGUGAGUAAUACAUCGGAACAUGUCCUGUAGUGGGGGAUAGCCCGGCGAAAGCCGGAUUAAUACCGCAUACGAUCUACGGAUGAAAGCGGGGGACCUUCGGGCCUCGCGCUAUAGGGUUGGCCGAUGGCUGAUUAGCUAGUUGGUGGGGUAAAGGCCUACCAAGGCGACGAUCAGUAGCUGGUCUGAGAGGACGACCAGCCACACUGGGACUGAGACACGGCCCAGACUCCUACGGGAGACAGCAGUGGGGAAUUUUGGACAAUGGGCGAAAGCCUGAUCCAGCAAUGCCGCGUGUGUGAAGAAGGCCUUCGGGUUGUAAAGCACUUUUGUCCGGAAAGAAAUCCUUGGCCCUAAUACGGUCGGGGGAUGACGGUACCGGAAGAAUAAGCACCGGCUAACUACGUG